AAGGACUUAAGUUAACUAAACUGAAAGCCUUCAAAGCUUUAAACAAGAAUGAAAAUUUCUUAGUCCUUG
This 69-nucleotide transfer RNA is filed under the name Hemicentrotus pulcherrimus. RNAcentral's name for it is "tRNA-Trp". The record is from RNAcentral. Lineage: Eukaryota; Metazoa; Echinodermata; Echinoidea; Camarodonta; Strongylocentrotidae.